GAUGAACGCUGGCGGCGUGCCUAAUACCUGCAAGUCGAGCGAACGGACGAGAAGCUUGCUUCUCUGAUGUUAGCGGCGGACGUGUGAGUAACCCGUGGAUAACCUACCUAUAAGACUGGGAUAACUUCGGGAAACAGGAGCUAAUACCGGAUAAUAUUUUGAACCGCAUGGUUCAAAAGUGAAAGACGGUCUUGCUGUCACUUAUAGAUGGAUCCGCGCUGCAUUAGCUAGUUGGUAAGGUAACGGCUUACCAAGGCAACGAUGCAUAGCCGACCUGAGAGGGUGAUCGGCCACACUAGAACUGAGACACGGUCCAGACUCCUACGGGAGGCAGCAGUAGGGAAUCUUCCGCAAUGGGCGAAAGCCUGACGGAGCAACGCCGCGUGAGUGAUGAAGGUCUUCGGAUCGUAAAACUCUGUUAUUAGGGAAGAACAUAUGUGUAAGUAACUGUGCACAUCUUGACGGUACCUAAUCAGAAAGCCACGGCUAACUACGUG
Molecule: ribosomal RNA, 497 nt
Filed under: uncultured bacterium
Lineage: Bacteria
Description: partial 16S ribosomal RNA
Rfam family: Bacterial small subunit ribosomal RNA
Source: RNAcentral